Molecule: ribosomal RNA, 111 nt
Filed under: Cavia porcellus (domestic guinea pig)
Lineage: Eukaryota; Metazoa; Chordata; Mammalia; Rodentia; Caviidae
Source: RNAcentral
GUCUACGGUCAUACCACCCUGAACAUGUCUGAUCUCGUCUGAUCUUGGAAGCUAAGCAGGGUCGGGCCUGGCUAGUACUUGGAUGGGAGACCGCUCUGGGUGCUGUAGGCU